This 855-nucleotide ribosomal RNA is filed under the name Neodevriesia manglicola. Its description in RNAcentral is "Neodevriesia sp. VVS-2019a partial large subunit ribosomal RNA". It matches the Rfam family "Eukaryotic large subunit ribosomal RNA", at positions 61 to 942 of the family's 3401-position model. Lineage: Eukaryota; Fungi; Ascomycota; Dothideomycetes; Mycosphaerellales; Neodevriesiaceae. The record is from RNAcentral.
GAAACCAACAGGGAUUGCCCUAGUAACGGCGAGUGAAGCGGCAACAGCUCAAAUUUGAAAUCUGGCGUAAGCCCGAGUUGUAAUUUGCAGAGGAUGCUUCUGGGCAGCGGCCGGUCUAAGUUCCUUGGAACAGGACGUCAUAGAGGGUGAGAAUCCCGUAUGUGACCGGCUGGCACCCUCCACGUAGCUCCUUCGACGAGUCGAGUUGUUUGGGAAUGCAGCUCUAAAUGGGAGGUAAAUUCCUUCUAAAGCUAAAUACCGGCCAGAGACCGAUAGCGCACAAGUAGAGUGAUCGAAAGAUGAAAAGCACUUUGGAAAGAGAGUUAAAAAGCACGUGAAAUUGUUGAAAGGGAAGCGCUUGCGACCAGACUUGUCGGCGGUGUUCCGCCGGUCUUCUGACCGGUUCACUCGCCGUCGGCAGGCCAGCAUCAUCUGGGGCCGCCGGAUAAAGGCUUAGGGAAGUUAGCUCCUCACGGGGAGUGUUAUAGCCCUUUGCACAAUACGGCGCGCCCCGGGUGAGGUCCGCGUCUCGGCAAGGAUGCUGGCGUAAUGGUCGUAAGCGGCCCGUCUUGAAACACGGACCAAGGAGUCGAUUAUCUAUGCGAGUGUUCGGGCGUCAAACCCCUACGCGUAAUGAAAGUGAACGGAGGUGGGAACCUUUACCGGUGCACCAUCGACCGAUCCGGAUGUCUUCGGAUGGAUUUGAGUAAGAGCAUAGCUAAUCGGACCCGAAAGAUGGUGAACUAUGCCUGAAUAGGGUGAAGCCAGAGGAAACUCUGGUGGAGGCUCGCAGCGGUUCUGACGUGCAAAUCGAUCGUCAAAUUUGGGUAUAGGGGCGAAAGACUAAUCGAACCA